This 940-nucleotide long non-coding RNA is filed under the name Aplysia californica (California sea hare). RNAcentral's name for it is "uncharacterized LOC101859518, transcript variant X2". The record is from RNAcentral. Lineage: Eukaryota; Metazoa; Mollusca; Gastropoda; Aplysiida; Aplysiidae.
UGUGUGUGUGUGUGUGUGUGUGACCAUGUGUGUGGGUGUGGGUGUGUGUGUGUGGGUGUGUGUGGGUGUACUUCUCUGUUUUUGGCUGAUGUAGUUGUUGGUGUUGAUGGUUCGGUGAAGUUUGUUAUAGAACGUGAUAUGCUUUGAUUGUUUUGUCAUUCUGAGAGACAGUUCUGAGAAUGUGGUUUUGAGUUGUGUACAGGUAGUUUUGAGUUGUGUACAGGUAGUUUUGAGUUGUGUACAGGUAGUUUUGGUCUGUCAGCUGCGGCUGUUUAUAAUGGUCUGUGGGCCGCUGUCGGGGGAAGAGUGUGUGAGGCAUCGUGGGAAAAUCAGGCGCUCGGAGAAACGAUGAAAUCAGGCGCUCGGAGAAACGAUGAAAUCAGGCGCUCGGGGAAACGAUGAAAUCAGGCGCUCGGAGAAACGAUGAAAUCAGGCGCUCGGAGAAACGAUGAAAUCAGAGAAUCAGGCAUUUUUCCGUUGGUUGAACAUUUUUUAAACUGAUUUUUAGAGGGAUCAAUACCAUUUUCUGCCCUUGUGAGACCAGAUUUCUGCGUAGAUUUUACUGGUAAAUGUUGAUCAACGCCACAGAAAAUGUAAAUUUGCAGUACGGUAUCUUUGAUCUUUGGAAAUCCCCAAACUUGGGCUGCCAUAUUCUUGUUUAUUUUUACCGUUUACUCUACACGAUCCUCGCCUGAUUCUGUCACAAAUGUCGAGACCUUUAUUCCAGAUAGUUGGGUAUAUUAUUGUCUUCAAAACCAAGGGGGAAAAAUAACAAGCUUUAAGAUGACACCAAUAUAAUCAAUAUAAUAAAGUCCAUAUGGGCAAAAAUUGAUUCCAGCGUGUCUUGGCAGUGAGACACAUUGGUUUGGCUGUUGUGUCUGGCCUGUUUAUUUGUGUCAUAUGGAUGACCUUGAGGGAAAAAUAAAAUGUGGGGAAAGUC